AGAGUUUGAUCCUGGCUCAGAUUGAACGCUGGCGGCAGGCCUAACACAUGCAAGUCGAACGGUAACAGGAAGAAGCUUGCUUCUUUGCUGACGAGUGGCGGACGGGUGAGUAAUGUCUGGGAAACUGCCUGAUGGAGGGGGAUAACUACUGGAAACGGUAGCUAAUACCGCAUAACGUCGCAAGACCAAAAAGGGGGACCUUCGGGCCUCUUGCCAUCGGAUGUGCCCAGAUGGGAUUAGCUAGUAGGUGGGGUAACGGCUCACCUAGGCGACGAUCCCUAGCUGGUCUGAGAGGAUGACCAGCCACACUGGAACUGAGACACGGUCCAGACUCCUACGGGAGGCAGCAGUGGGGAAUAUUGCACAAUGGGCGCAAGCCUGAUGCAGCCAUGCCGCGUGUAUGAAGAAGGCUUCGGGUUGUAAAGUACUUUCAGCGGGGAGGAGGGAAUAAAGUUAAUACCUUUGCUCAUUGACGUGUACCCGGCAGAAUGAACGCACGCGCUAACUCCCGUGCCAGGCAGCAGCGGUUAAUACCGAAGGGUGCAAGCGUUUAUCGGAACUACUGGGCGUAAAGCGCAACGCAAGGCGGUUGUUAAGUCAGAUGUGAAAUCCCCCGGGCUCCAACCUGGGAACCUGCAUCUGAUACUGGCAAAGCUGUGAGUCUCGUAGAGGGGGGGGUAGAAUUCCAGGUGUAGCGGUGAAAUGCGUAAAGAUCUGGAGGAAUACCCGGUGGCGAAGGCGGCCCCCCUGGACGAAGACUGACGCUCAGGUGCGAAAGCGUGGGGAGCAAACAGGAUUAGAUACCCUGGUAGUCCACGCCGUAAACGAUGUCGACUUGGAGGUUGUGCCCUUUGAGGCGUGGCUUCCGGAGCUAACGCGUUAAGUCGACCGCCUGGGGAGUACGGCCGCAAGGUUAAAACUCAAAUGAAUUGACGGGGGCCCGCACAAGCGGACUGGAGCAUGAGAGAUUAACUCGAUGCAACGCGAUCAGAUACCUUACCUGGUCAUAACGUCAGUCCACCUGUAAUGUAAAACAAGCACAUCUAUUGAACGGGCCCUUCGGGAACCGUGAGACAGGUGCUGCAUGGCUGUCGUCAGCUCGUGUUGUGAAAUGUUGGGUUAAGUCCCGCAACGAGCGCAACCCUUAUCCCUUGUUGCCAGCGGUCCGGCCGGGAACUCAAAGGAGACUGCCAGUGAUAAACUGGAGGAAGGUGGGGAUGACGUCAAGUCAUCAUGGCCCUUACGACCAGGGCUACACACGUGCUACAAUGGCGCAUACAAAGAGAAGCGACCUCGCGAGAGCAAGCGGACCUCAUAAAGUGCGUCGUAGUCCGGAUUGGAGUCUGCAACUCGACUCCAUGAAGUCGGAAUCGCUAGUAAUCGUGGAUCAGAAUGCCACGGUGAAUACGUUCCCGGGCCUUGUACACACCGCCCGUCACACCAUGGGAGUGGGUUGCAAAAGAAGUAGGUAGCUUAACCUUCGGGAGGGCGCUUACCACUUUGUGAUUCAUGACUGGGGUGAAGUCGUAACAAGGUAGCCGU
Molecule: ribosomal RNA, 1542 nt
Filed under: uncultured bacterium
Lineage: Bacteria
Description: bacterial SSU rRNA
Rfam family: Bacterial small subunit ribosomal RNA
Source: RNAcentral